AUGGGAUGGGCACAGUAUGGCAGCCUCUCGAUAGUGCUCGCAGGCACCAAGUACCAUCCCCUCAGCCUCCAUUGCAAUACCAAGGUUGACAUGGAUCUGCGGGAGAAUGUCCGCGGACUGGGAGUUACCUGCCUCUGCCGCCUCGAGGGCAAGGAGGAACUCCUCCUUGGCCUCGGCGUGGCGGCCCAGGGCGUAGAGGCAGUUACCAGCGCGGAAGUGCGGGCGGACGUCGGUGGGCUGAAGCUCGCAGCCACGGCGGAAGCUGGCAAGGGCGUCUCGGAAGAGGCGGUGCUCGGAGAGCGCCCGGCCGAUGACCAUGUGGUUGUCGAAGGCCUCCUCGCGCGAGCGGGAGGCGUCCGCGCGCGUGCGGAGAACAGCGAGCUCCUUGACGAAGGUGAGGUAGUCCCGGCUCGUCUCGUCCCACGGCGCGGACGCCAAACCCGAAUCGGCGGAGGCGGAGAUCUCCCUGGACCAGCCGGCCUCGGAGAAGGAGUCGAGAUUGCUGCCGCCCCCGCUGGUGUCGAUGGAGGAGGUCUUCCGCAGCUGCUUGGAGCGGAGGCGCUUGACGAGUAUCUCCAGGUCGUCGAGGAGCGCCCAGGAGGAAUCGAACGCAAUCCCGUGGCUGGGCGAGGUCGCCCAGGCCGGCGCGGCGACGGCGGCGCGGGAGCUGGACGAGGGGCCCGUGCCGCCGAUGCCGAGCGGCCUGAGGUGGUCGUCGAGCAGCGAGGCGGCGACGGCGGCGCCGGAGGUCGGGGAGGGCGAGGCGGCGGCGUCCCCGGGCCCGAUCUCGGGGGAGGAGGCGUCGGAGUCGACGGCGGGCAGGGAGAGCGCGAGGAAGUCGCGGUCGACGUCCCCGGCGCCGUCGUCGUAGGUGCGGAGCAGGCCGGUGAGGGACAGGCCCUGGCCCCCCGGGAGGAUGAACUCUGCGUAGGUGCGGAAGACCUCGUCGAGGAUGGCGGAGAUCUGGUCGUCGCUGAACUUGACCCGCGGGUUGACGGCGACGACGAGCUUGGCCAUCUCGGCCCGGUCGAGCCCGCCGUCCCCGUUGGCGUCGAAGCGCUCAAAGAUCCUGCGCACCUUCUCGGCCCGCGCGCCCCUCCCCGCCGACGCCGCCGACGCGGACAGCGCCAUCGCGGGAAGCCGCGCGCUGGGUGGGGGGGCGGAGCGGCGAUCGACGGCGAAUUCGGCACGCGCGGGGGCGGGGGAUUUGAGGUGAAGGGGGGAGGCGGGGGUGGGGUGGGACCAGGGUGGAGCGGCGGUUGUGGUGCGGCGUGGGCGUGGGCGUGGUGUGGUGGAGGUGGAAGGGAGGGAGACGAUGGUUGGAGGGGGGGGAGGUGGCAGCCUGGCUUGUGGCUGGGCUAG
This 1362-nucleotide ribosomal RNA is filed under the name Triticum aestivum (bread wheat). Its description in RNAcentral is "partial small subunit ribosomal RNA". Lineage: Eukaryota; Viridiplantae; Streptophyta; Magnoliopsida; Poales; Poaceae. The record is from RNAcentral.